CGGUGAAUACGUUCCCGGACCUUGUACACACCGCCCGUCAAGCCAUGGAAGCUGGGUGUACCUAAAGUCGAUAACCGUAAGGAGUCGCCUAGGGUAAAACUAGUAACUGGGGCU
This 114-nucleotide ribosomal RNA is filed under the name uncultured bacterium. RNAcentral describes it as "partial 16S ribosomal RNA". It matches the Rfam family "Bacterial small subunit ribosomal RNA", at positions 1360 to 1482 of the family's 1533-position model. The record is from RNAcentral.